Molecule: long non-coding RNA, 310 nt
Filed under: Pan troglodytes (chimpanzee)
Lineage: Eukaryota; Metazoa; Chordata; Mammalia; Primates; Hominidae
Description: long non-coding RNA NONPTRT004877
Source: RNAcentral
UAGAAGUAAUGACUAUAUUUUAAUUAUUUUGUUGCAUUCAAUUUGAACAUGCGACAUGGGUUAUAUUUAUACUUUUUGCCUAUUGGUGAUGACCAACUUGGAUGACCCACUUCGAGGUCACCCAAACAACCUAGGCAUAACUGAUUCAAAAAUAUCUUUAAAACAAUAAAUACAUCACUGUAUGAAAACAUGAACACUUCUAUUUUCUGAAACAACUAUUUAGAGAACACCUUUACUGAUAGCUAGAGGCUAUGUGGAUGAGAAAAUUAUACCAGCGGGGUGGAGAGCUCCAUGAUGAAACAAAAAUAAG